GACAGAGGGUGCAAACGUUGUUCGGAUUUACUGGGCGUAAAGCGCGUGUAGGCGGCUUGGCAAGUCGGAUGUGAAAGCCCACGGCUCAACCGUGGAAGCGCAUCCGAAACGGCCUCGCUCGAGUCUCGGAGAGGAAGGUGGAAUGCUUGGUGUAGAGGUGAAAUUCGUAGAUAUCAAGCAGAACACCUGCGGCGAAGGCGGCCUUCUGGAUGAUGACUGACGCUGAGACGCGAAAGCGUGGGGAGCAAACAGG
RNAcentral lists this ribosomal RNA (253 nucleotides) under uncultured bacterium. Its description in RNAcentral is "partial 16S ribosomal RNA". It matches the Rfam family "Bacterial small subunit ribosomal RNA", at positions 524 to 776 of the family's 1533-position model. The record is from RNAcentral.